Molecule: ribosomal RNA, 253 nt
Filed under: uncultured bacterium
Lineage: Bacteria
Description: partial 16S ribosomal RNA
Rfam family: Bacterial small subunit ribosomal RNA
Source: RNAcentral
UACGUAGGGUCCGAGCGUUAAUCGGAAUUACUGGGCGUAAAGCGUGCGCAGGCGGUCUUGUAAGCCAGAUGUGAAAGCCCCGGGCUCAACCUGGGAACUGCAUUUGGGACUGCAAGGCUGGAGUACGGCAGAGGGAGGUGGAAUUCCACGUGUAGCAGUGAAAUGCGUAGAUAUUGGGAGGAACACCAGUGGCGAAGGCGGCUACCUGGACCGGUUCUGACGCUGAGGCGCGAAAGCGUGGGUAGCAAACAGG